Molecule: ribosomal RNA, 429 nt
Filed under: Gemmatimonadota bacterium
Lineage: Bacteria; Pseudomonadati; Gemmatimonadota
Description: Gemmatimonadetes bacterium partial 16S ribosomal RNA
Rfam family: Bacterial small subunit ribosomal RNA
Source: RNAcentral
UAGGGAAUCUUCGGCAAUGGACGAAAGUCUGACCGAGCAACGCCGCGUGAGUGAAGAAGGUUUUCGGAUCGUAAAACUCUGUUGUCAGAGAAGAACAAGGACGUUAGUAACUGAACGUCCCCUGACGGUAUCUAACCAGAAAGCCACGGCUAACUACGUGCCAGCAGCCGCGGUAAUACGUAGGUGGCAAGCGUUGUCCGGAUUUAUUGGGCGUAAAGCGAGCGCAGGCGGUUUCUUAAGUCUGAUGUGAAAGCCCCCGGCUCAACCGGGGAGGGUCAUUGGAAACUGGGAGACUUGAGUGCAGAAGAGGAGAGUGGAAUUCCAUGUGUAGCGGUGAAAUGCGUAGAUAUAUGGAGGAACACCAGUGGCGAAGGCGGCUCUCUGGUCUGUAUCUGACGCUGAGGCUCGAAAGCGUGGGGAGCAAACAGG